RNAcentral lists this ribosomal RNA (250 nucleotides) under uncultured bacterium. RNAcentral describes it as "partial 16S ribosomal RNA". It matches the Rfam family "Bacterial small subunit ribosomal RNA", at positions 524 to 773 of the family's 1533-position model. The record is from RNAcentral.
UACGGAGGAUGCGAGCGUUAUCCGGAUUUAUUGGGUUUAAAGGGUGCGUAGGCGGCUUAGUAAGUCAGCGGUGAAAUUUUGCAGCUUAACUGUAACAGUGCCGUUGAUACUGCCAGGCUAGGAUUUGGUUGCUGUGGGUGGAAUGUGUGGUGUAGCGGUGAAAUGCUUAGAUAUCACACAGAAUAUCGAUUGCGAAGGCAGCUCACAAAGCCAAGAUUGACGCUGAGGCACGAAAGUGUGGGGAUCAAAC